Molecule: ribosomal RNA, 253 nt
Filed under: uncultured bacterium
Lineage: Bacteria
Description: partial 16S ribosomal RNA
Rfam family: Bacterial small subunit ribosomal RNA
Source: RNAcentral
UACGGGGGGGGCAAGCGUUGUUCGGAAUUACUGGGCGUAAAGGGCUCGUAGGUGGCCAACUCAGUCGGACGUGAAAUCCCUCGGCUUAACCGGGGAACUGCGUCCGAUACUGGAUGGCUUGAGAUCGGGAGAGGAGAGUGGAAUUCCUGGUGUAGCGGUGAAAUGCGCAGAUAUCAGGAAGAACACCCGUGGCGAAAGCGGCUCUCUGGAACGGUACUGACGCUGAGACGCGAAAGCGUGGGGAGCGAACAGG